RNAcentral lists this unclassified non-coding RNA (360 nucleotides) under soil metagenome. Its description in RNAcentral is "partial contains 5.8S ribosomal RNA, internal transcribed spacer 2, and large subunit ribosomal RNA". The stretch from base 1 to 120 matches the Rfam family "5.8S ribosomal RNA", at positions 35 to 154 of the family's 154-position model. The record is from RNAcentral.
GAUGAAGAACGUAGCGAAAUGCGAUACGUAAUGUGAAUUGCAGAAUUCAGUGAAUCAUCGAAUCUUUGAACGCACAUUGCGCCCGCCAGUAUUCUGGCGGGCAUGCCUGUCCGAGCGUCAUUUCAACCCUCGGGCCCCCCUCUGCGGGCGGCCCGGCGUUGGGGCUCAGGCGCCGUCUCUGCUCGGCGCCUGUCCCCUAAAUGCAGUGGCGGCCUCGCCGCUGCCUCCUCCGCGUAGUAGCACAAACCUCGCGGCUGGAAGGCGGCGCGGCCACGCCGUAAAACCCCCCAACUUUACCAAGGUUGACCUCGGAUCAGGUAGGAAUACCCGCUGAACUUAAGCAUAUCAAUAAGCGGAGGA